RNAcentral lists this microRNA (21 nucleotides) under Cordylochernes scorpioides. The record is from RNAcentral. Lineage: Eukaryota; Metazoa; Arthropoda; Arachnida; Pseudoscorpiones; Chernetidae.
CGACUUUUCUACCGCAUCUUG